RNAcentral lists this ribosomal RNA (2332 nucleotides) under Salmonella enterica subsp. enterica serovar Enteritidis. RNAcentral describes it as "partial 23S ribosomal RNA". It matches the Rfam family "Bacterial large subunit ribosomal RNA", at positions 583 to 2896 of the family's 2925-position model. Lineage: Bacteria; Pseudomonadati; Pseudomonadota; Gammaproteobacteria; Enterobacterales; Enterobacteriaceae. The record is from RNAcentral.
CUUUGGGUGUGACUGCGUACCUUUUGUAUAAUGGGUCAGCGACUUAUAUUCUGUAGCAAGGUUAACCGAAUAGGGGAGCCGGAGGGAAACCGAGUCUUAACCGGGCGUUAAGUUGCAGGGUAUAGACCCGAAACCCGGUGAUCUAGCCAUGGGCAGGUUGAAGGUUGGGUAACACUAACUGGAGGACCGAACCGACUAAUGUUGAAAAAUUAGCGGAUGACCUGUGGCUGGGGGUGAAAGGCCAAUCAAACCGGGAGAUAGCUGGUUCUCCCCGAAAGCUAUUUAGGUAGCGCCUCGUGAAUUCAUCUCCGGGGGUAGAGCACUGUUUCGGCUAGGGGGCCAUCCCGGCUUACCAACCCGAUGCAAACUGCGAAUACCGGAGAAUGUUAUCACGGGAGACACACGGCGGGUGCUAACGUCCGUCGUGAAGAGGGAAACAACCCAGACCGCCAGCUAAGGUCCCAAAGUCAUGGUUAAGUGGGAAACGAUGUGGGAAGGCCCAGACAGCCAGGAUGUUGGCUUAGAAGCAGCCAUCAUUUAAAGAAAGCGUAAUAGCUCACUGGUCGAGUCGGCCUGCGCGGAAGAUGUAACGGGGCUAAACCAUGCACCGAAGCUGCGGCAGCGACACUGUGUGUUGUUGGGUAGGGGAGCGUUCUGUAAGCCUGUGAAGGUGUGUCGUGAGGCAUGCUGGAGGUAUCAGAAGUGCGAAUGCUGACAUAAGUAACGAUAAAGCGGGUGAAAAGCCCGCUCGCCGGAAGACCAAGGGUUCCUGUCCAACGUUAAUCGGGGCAGGGUGAGUCGACCCCUAAGGCGAGGCCGAAAGGCGUAGUCGAUGGGAAACGGGUUAAUAUUCCCGUACUUGGUGUUACUGCGAAGGGGGGACGGAGAAGGCUAUGUUGGCCGGGCGACGGUUGUCCCGGUUUAAGCGUGUAGGUGUGUGUUCCAGGUAAAUCCGGUUCACUUUAACACUGAGGCGUGACGACGAGGCACUACGGUGCUGAAGCAACAAAUGCCCUGCUUCCAGGAAAAGCCUCUAAGCAUCAGGUAACAUCAAAUCGUACCCCAAACCGACACAGGUGGUCAGGUAGAGAAUACCAAGGCGCUUGAGAGAACUCGGGUGAAGGAACUAGGCAAAAUGGUGCCGUAACUUCGGGAGAAGGCACGCUGACACGUAGGUGAAGUGAUUUACUCAUGGAGCUGAAGUCAGUCGAAGAUACCAGCUGGCUGCAACUGUUUAUUAAAAACACAGCACUGUGCAAACACGAAAGUGGACGUAUACGGUGUGACGCCUGCCCGGUGCCGGAAGGUUAAUUGAUGGGGUCAGCGCAAGCGAAGCUCCUGAUCGAAGCCCCGGUAAACGGCGGCCGUAACUAUAACGGUCCUAAGGUAGCGAAAUUCCUUGUCGGGUAAGUUCCGACCUGCACGAAUGGCGUAAUGAUGGCCAGGCUGUCUCCACCCGAGACUCAGUGAAAUUGAACUCGCUGUGAAGAUGCAGUGUACCCGCGGCAAGACGGAAAGACCCCGUGAACCUUUACUAUAGCUUGACACUGAACAUUGAGCCUUGAUGUGUAGGAUAGGUGGGAGGCUUUGAAGUGUGGACGCCAGUCUGCAUGGAGCCGACCUUGAAAUACCACCCUUUAAUGUUUGAUGUUCUAACGUGGACCCGUUACCCGGGUUGCGGACAGUGUCUGGUGGGUAGUUUGACUGGGGCGGUCUCCUCCUAAAGAGUAACGGAGGAGCACGAAGGUUGGCUAAUCCUGGUCGGACAUCAGGAGGUUAGUGCAAUGGCAUAAGCCAGCUUGACUGCGAGCGUGACGGCGCGAGCAGGUGCGAAAGCAGGUCAUAGUGAUCCGGUGGUUCUGAAUGGAAGGGCCAUCGCUCAACGGAUAAAAGGUACUCCGGGGAUAACAGGCUGAUACCGCCCAAGAGUUCAUAUCGACGGCGGUGUUUGGCACCUCGAUGUCGGCUCAUCACAUCCUGGGGCUGAAGUAGGUCCCAAGGGUAUGGCUGUUCGCCAUUUAAAGUGGUACGCGAGCUGGGUUUAGAACGUCGUGAGACAGUUCGGUCCCUAUCUGCCGUGGGCGCUGGAGAACUGAGGGGGGCUGCUCCUAGUACGAGAGGACCGGAGUGGACGCAUCACUGGUGUUCGGGUUGUCAUGCCAAUGGCACUGCCCGGUAGCUAAAUGCGGAAGAGAUAAGUGCUGAAAGCAUCUAAGCACGAAACUUGCCCCGAGAUGAGUUCUCCCUGAGACUUAAAGUCUCCUGAAGGAACGUUGAAGACGACGACGUUGAUAGGCCGGGUGUGUAAGCGCAGCGAUGCGUUGAGCUAACC